This 388-nucleotide ribosomal RNA is filed under the name Galaxias sp. 'watergum'. RNAcentral describes it as "partial 12S ribosomal RNA". It matches the Rfam family "Bacterial small subunit ribosomal RNA", at positions 794 to 1384 of the family's 1533-position model. The record is from RNAcentral. Lineage: Eukaryota; Metazoa; Chordata; Actinopteri; Galaxiiformes; Galaxiidae.
GCUUAGCCGUAAAAUUUGACAGUAAUAUACAACUGCUGUCCGCCAGGGAACUACAAGCGCCAGCUUAAAACCCAAAGGACUUGGCGGUGCCUCAGACCCACCUAGAGGAGCCUGUUCUAGAACCGAUGACCCCCGUUCAACCUCACCUCCCCUUGUUAUCCCCGCCUAUAUACCGCCGUCGUCAGCACACCCUAUGAAGGAAAUAUAGUAUGCACAAUGGGUAAGCCCCAAAACGUCAGGUCGAGGUGUAGCGUAUGGGGAGGGAAGAAAUGGGCUACAUUCUCUAAUCUAGAGUACUACGGAAGGGGCUGUGAAACCAGCCCCUGAAGGUGGAUUUAGCAGUAGAUGGGAACUAGAGCGUCCUGUCGAAACUGGCUCUGAGGCGCGC